GGACCAAGGAGUCUAGCAUGUGCGCGAGUCAUUGGGACCGCAUCUAAACCAAAUGGCAAAAUGAAAGUGAAGGCCGCGUUGCGCGUGCCGAGGGAGGAUGGGUCGGGCUCCGCUCGCACCCCGCACUCCCUGGGCGUCUCGUUCUCACCGCGAGAUGAGGCGCACCCAGAGCGUACACGCUGGGACCC
RNAcentral lists this ribosomal RNA (188 nucleotides) under Medon sp. 1 BT-2011. Its description in RNAcentral is "partial 28S ribosomal RNA". It matches the Rfam family "Eukaryotic large subunit ribosomal RNA", at positions 663 to 817 of the family's 3401-position model. Lineage: Eukaryota; Metazoa; Arthropoda; Insecta; Coleoptera; Staphylinidae. The record is from RNAcentral.